UGGCACUAGUAACCAUUAGCUAGAAAUGGUAG
RNAcentral lists this non-coding RNA (32 nucleotides) under Mus musculus (house mouse). The record is from RNAcentral. Lineage: Eukaryota; Metazoa; Chordata; Mammalia; Rodentia; Muridae.